RNAcentral lists this ribosomal RNA (506 nucleotides) under uncultured Gammaproteobacteria bacterium. RNAcentral describes it as "bacterial SSU rRNA". It matches the Rfam family "Bacterial small subunit ribosomal RNA", at positions 235 to 732 of the family's 1533-position model. The record is from RNAcentral. Lineage: Bacteria; Pseudomonadati; Pseudomonadota; Gammaproteobacteria.
GUCGGAUUAGCUAGUUGGUAGGGUAACGGCCUACCAAGGCGACGAUCCGUAACUGGUCUGAGAGGACGACCAGUCACACCGGAACUGAGACACGGUCCGGACUCCUACGGGAGGCAGCAGUGGGGAAUAUUGGACAAUGGGCGAAAGCCUGAUCCAGCGACGCCGCGUGGGUGAAGGAGGCCUGCGGGUUGUAAAGCCCUUUCGGUGGGGAAGAAAAGCCUCGACCUAAUACGUCGGGGUCUUGACGUAACCCAUAGAAGAAGCACCGGCUAACUCUGUGCCAGCAGCCGCGGUAAUACAGAGGGUGCGAGCGUUAAUCGGAAUUACUGGGCGUAAAGCGCGCGUAGGCGGCUUUGCAAGUCGGGUGUGAAAUCCCCAGGGCUUAACCUGGGAACUGCACUCGAGACUGCAUUGCUAGAGUAUGGGAGAGGGAAGUGGAAUUUCGGGUGUAGCGGUGAAAUGCGUAGAUAUCUGAAGGAACAUCAGUGGCGAAAGCGACUUCCUGG